Molecule: ribosomal RNA, 641 nt
Filed under: Diptera sp. NZAC 03006368
Lineage: Eukaryota; Metazoa; Arthropoda; Insecta; Diptera
Description: eukaryotic LSU rRNA
Rfam family: Eukaryotic large subunit ribosomal RNA
Source: RNAcentral
UACGUGAAACUGCUUAGAGGUUAAGCCCGAUGAGCCUGAAUAUCCAUUAUGGAAUAUUCAUCAUUAUACCAAAGAUAUUUAAUCAAUAUCAUUGUAAUAGUGUGCAUUUUUUCCAUAUAUAGGACAUUGUAAUCUAUUAACAUAAUAAUUAUUUAUCAAAAGAUCAUUGGCACAUGUUUAUUCAAAUUAAUUUGCUUGCAUUUUAACAUAGAAUAAAUGCCUGGUGAUUUGAUAAAGUGUUGAUAGAUUUAUUUUCAAUAAAUAUAGUGCUUAAAUUCUUUUGAAUUUUAUAAUGGCAUUUAAAUCAUGAUUUAGAUGUUUAAUUUAUAUGCACUUAUAUGAUUAACAAUGCGAAAGAUUCAGGAUACCUUCGGGACCCGUCUUGAAACACGGACCAAGGAGUCUAACAUAUGUGCAAGUCAUUGUGAAUUUGUGAAAACCCAAAGGCGUAAUUAACUUAACUAUAAUUUAAUGGGAUUCGUUUUUAGACUUUUUAGUUUAUUAAUUCAAUCCCGGGGCGUUCUAUACAGUUAUGUAGAUUUGGUAGUUCUCUACUAUUUAUACCUCUAACUAGAGCGUACCUUGAGCAUAUAUGCUGUGACCCGAAAGAUGGUGAACUAUACUUGAUCAGGUUGAAGUCA